RNAcentral lists this ribosomal RNA (406 nucleotides) under uncultured bacterium. RNAcentral's name for it is "partial 16S ribosomal RNA". It matches the Rfam family "Bacterial small subunit ribosomal RNA", at positions 28 to 526 of the family's 1533-position model. The record is from RNAcentral.
GAUGAACGCUAGCUACAGGCUUAACACAUGCAAGUCGAGGGACCGGCGCACGGGUGAGUAACACGUAUCCAACCUGCCCUUUACUCGGGGAUAGCCUUUCGAAAGAAAGAUUACUACCCUAUAGAAAGGAUGGGGAUGCGUUCCAUUAGGUUUUUGGUGAGGUAACGGCCCACCAAGCCUUCGAUGGCUAGGGGUUCUGAGAGGAAGGUCCCCCACAUUGGAACUGAGACACGGUCCAAACUCCUACGGGAGGCAGCAGUGAGGAAUAUUGGUCAAUGGGCGUUAGCCGGAACCAGCCAAGUAGCGUGAAGGAUGAAGGCUUAUGGGUCGUAAACUUCUUUUAUAUAAGAAUAUGUAUUAGAUGAAUAAGGAUCGGCUAACUCCGUGCCAGCCGCCGCGGUAAUUC